CGUGGGUAACCUACCCAUCAGAGGGGGAUAACACUUGGAAACAGGUGCUAAUACCGCAUAACAGUUUAUGCCGCAUGGCAUAAGAGUGAAAGGCGCUUUCGGGUGUCGCUGAUGGAUGGACCCGCGGUGCAUUAGCUAGUUGGUGAGGUAACGGCUCACCAAGGCCGCGAUGCAUAGCCGACCUGAGAGGGUGAUCGGCCACACUGGGACUGAGACACGGCCCAGACUCCUACGGGAGGCAGCAUG
This 246-nucleotide ribosomal RNA is filed under the name uncultured bacterium. RNAcentral's name for it is "partial 16S ribosomal RNA". It matches the Rfam family "Bacterial small subunit ribosomal RNA", at positions 116 to 353 of the family's 1533-position model. The record is from RNAcentral.